This is a long non-coding RNA of Magnolia sinica, 1502 nucleotides long. RefSeq lists it as uncharacterized. The transcript has 3 exons. NCBI's taxonomy places the organism in Eukaryota, Viridiplantae, Streptophyta, Magnoliopsida, Magnoliales, Magnoliaceae. The record is from RefSeq and is a predicted model, not a curated record.
CUUAAAGAGUUCUCAUCCGGGACCUUUCCAAUUUCUGAUUAGGUUUUAUUUUUUAAUUUCUCAAUGAUAUUGUCUUAAAAGUUGAACUGAAUGAUGUGCAAUUUCAGUUUUAAUAAUUCAUUGCUUUGAAGCAUUUCUGGACAUUUUUGUUAUGUGUAUGCAUGAUUUGCACACAAUCUUAUUUUCUUUCUUUCUUUCUUUCUUUCUUUCUUUCCUUUUUUUUUUAUAAAAAAUUUAUCUCCAAUGAAUGUUGAUGCGCACCUAGGAUCUCUUACAAGUAUGCCAUGUUGGCCCAUUGAUGCUGUGAAGGAAACACUGUUCGCAUGUAGUUUCUUGACAUUUCGUGUUAUACCGAUAAUGGUAGAGUACUGAGGGUUUCAACAACAAAUCUUGACUCUGAUUUUUCUAGACAUGUACUUGUGAGUUUGAUUUAUCUGGCAUUUAAAGUAGCUGCUGAUUAUUUUAAUAUCUAAAAUUCUGUUUGUCAAGAGCCACAACUGCAAUAUAGUUGUUUGUUUGUUUAUUUAUUAUUUUAAGAUGUUUAACUGGGAGGUCAUGAGAUUGAUUUCCCAUGUGGUGUGGGUGUGAGUGUGAGUUUGUGUUUAAAAAAAAAAAAAACAUUUUCAUCCUUCAUUCCAAUUGGAUUAUUUUGAAUACAUUUUGCUGGAGAUGGACAAAUAUCUUUCAUGUUAAAAUCAUCCUUACAAGUUGUUCGCUUCGACUCGGGUUCUCUUCUAGAAAGAUGAGUGCAAAAUAAAGUUCAUUGACUCCUUUGCCUAUGGACUUUUGGCAGUGGACACAAUUUCAUGCCCAUGUAUAAAUAUGUUGGAAUAUAUCUACAUGCUACAUGAAAGGAAGAACCUCUCUCUACAUAUAUCUAAUCUCUUCUAAAAUCUACCUCUCAUUUGUAGGGAUAUGAAGAUAUCAAGUGAAGAGGAAUGCCAGAGCUUGUGCUGAGGCUACAAUGCUAGAGCUGCAAACAUUUAUCCCAACGUCCAAUUAAGGUUUUCAGGUGAGAUGAAUGAGUUUCAAAACAAAACAGUCUGCAGUUUUGAGAAGCGAUUCCCAGGAUGUAUAUGUGUUUCAGGGGCCAUCUGCACCUUGGAAGCAUACAAUAGAAGGAUGAUGGAAUAUACGAAGCUGUUGCAGGAAGUGACUUUGUCAUUACUAGAGUUGCAUUUCGAGACAACUCUUCAAAGUACUACAUAAAUGACCGUGGAAGUAAUUUUACAGAGCUCACUAAGAAAUUGAAAGGAAAAUGAGUGGACUUGGACAACAAUCGGUUUUUUAUUCUUCAGGUGGGUGAUGGCUGAAAAAGGCCUAUUUACUUGUGAAAAAAAUAUCAUAUCAUCAAAAUAUAUCUUCUCUUUCAAUUAUUUAUCAUUGACAUUUCAAGGUGAAGUCAAGCAAAUUUCUCUAAUGAAGCCAAAGAUUCGUAUUUUCAGCAUUAUUGUAAUUGUAAUUGUAAUUGAUUGAAUGAAGGAUUGCAAUUGAUUGUAAUU